GAUGAAGAACGUAGUAAAAUGCGAUAAGUAAUGUGAAUUGCAGAAUUCAGUGAAUCAUCGAAUCUUUGAACGCACAUUGCGCCCGCCAGUAUUCUGGCGGGCAUGCCUGUUCGAGCGUCAUUUCAACCCUCAAGCACAGCUCGGUGUUGGGACUCGCGUUAAUUCGCGUUCCUCAAAUUGAUUGGCGGUCACGUCGAGCUUCCAUAGCGUAGUAGUAAAACCCUCGUUACUGGUAAUCGUCGCGGCCACGCCGUUAAACCCCAACUUCUGAAUGUUGACCUCGGAUCAGGUAGGAAUACCCGCUGAACUUAAGCAUAUCAAUAAGCGGAGGA
This 332-nucleotide unclassified non-coding RNA is filed under the name soil metagenome. RNAcentral's name for it is "partial contains 5.8S ribosomal RNA, internal transcribed spacer 2, and large subunit ribosomal RNA". The stretch from base 1 to 120 matches the Rfam family "5.8S ribosomal RNA", at positions 35 to 154 of the family's 154-position model. The record is from RNAcentral.